RNAcentral lists this ribosomal RNA (628 nucleotides) under uncultured bacterium. RNAcentral's name for it is "bacterial SSU rRNA". It matches the Rfam family "Bacterial small subunit ribosomal RNA", at positions 9 to 634 of the family's 1533-position model. The record is from RNAcentral.
UAGUUUGAUCUGGCUCAGGAUGAACGCUGGCGCCUUGCUUAACACUUGCUAGUCGAACGAACGACUAUUAACACCACCUUUUCGGGGCGAAGAUGAUAGAAGUUAGUGGCGGACGGGUGCGUAACGCGUGGGUAAUCUGCCUUUGUCAAAGGAAUAACUAUUCGAAAGAAUAGCUAAAACCGUAUAAAAUAUUAAUAGGGCAUCCUAAUAAUAUCAAAACUGAGGUGGACAAAGAUGAGCCCGCGUCUGAUUAGCUAGUUGGUGAGAUAAAAGCCCACCAAGGCAACGAUCAGUAGCCGACCUGAGAGGGUGAACGGCCACAUUGGAACUGAGACACGGUCCAAACUCCUACGGGAGGCAGCAGUGGGGAAUAUUGCACAAUGGGGGGAACCCUGAUGCAGCAACGCCGCGUGAGUGAAGAAGGCAUUCGUGUCGUAAAACUCCGUAGUAGGGGAAGAAAGAAAUGACAGUACCCUAAAAGAAAGCCCCGGCUAACUACGUGCCAGCAGCCGCGGUAAUACGUAGGGGGCAAGCGUUAUCCGGAAUAACUGGGCGUAAAGGGUGCGCAGGUGGUUUAACAAGUUAGUGUUGAAAGGCAUAGGCUCAACCAAUGUAUGCCAUUAAAACU